This 253-nucleotide ribosomal RNA is filed under the name uncultured bacterium. RNAcentral describes it as "partial 16S ribosomal RNA". It matches the Rfam family "Bacterial small subunit ribosomal RNA", at positions 524 to 776 of the family's 1533-position model. The record is from RNAcentral.
UACAGAGGUCUCAAGCGUUGUUCGGAUUCAUUGGGCGUAAAGGGUGCGCAGGCUGCGUGGUAAGUCGAGUGUGAAAUUUAGGGGCUCAACCCCUAAACUGCAUCCGAUACUGCCAUGCUAGAGGACUGUAGAGGAGAUUGGAAUUCACGGUGUAGCAGUGAAAUGCGUAGAUAUCGUGAGGAAGACCAGUGGCGAAGGCGAAUCUCUGGGCAGGUCCUGACGCUCAUGCACGAAGGCUAGGGGAGCAAACGGG